RNAcentral lists this ribosomal RNA (493 nucleotides) under uncultured bacterium. RNAcentral describes it as "partial 16S ribosomal RNA". It matches the Rfam family "Bacterial small subunit ribosomal RNA", at positions 30 to 523 of the family's 1533-position model. The record is from RNAcentral.
AUUGAACGCUGGCAGCAUGCCUUACACAUGCAAGUCGAACGGUAACAGGUUAAGCUGACGAGUGGCGAACGGGUGAGUAAUACAUCGGAACGUGCCCGAUCGUGGGGGAUAACGAAGCGAAAGCUUUGCUAAUACCGCAUAAGAUCUAAGGAUGAAAGCAGGGGACCGCAAGGCCUUUCGCGAUCGGAGCGGCCGAUGGCAGAUUAGGUAGUUGGUGGGAUAAAAGCUUACCAAGCCGACGAUCUGUAGCUGGUCUGAGAGGACGACCAGCCACACUGGGACUGAGACACGGCCCAGACUCCUACGGGAGGCAGCAGUGGGGAAUUUUGGACAAUGGGCGAAAGCCUGAUCCAGCCAUGCCGCGUGCAGGAUGAAGGCCUUCGGGUUGUAAACUGCUUUUGUACGGAACGAAAAGACUCUUUCUAAUAAAGAGGGUCCAUGACGGUACCGUAAGAAUAAGCACCGGCUAACUACGUGCCAGCCGCCGCAGUAA